Molecule: unclassified non-coding RNA, 303 nt
Filed under: Hevea brasiliensis (rubber tree)
Lineage: Eukaryota; Viridiplantae; Streptophyta; Magnoliopsida; Malpighiales; Euphorbiaceae
Source: RNAcentral
UUUCUAGCGACCGGAAGGGCAACUGUGGACUUCUCACAGGCCGACAAGUAUUCUGGCAGUGGUGUGGGUUUGUUCUAGUUGCCGGCCAGUUGCCGGUAAAGAAGAAGGCUGAUCGGUACUGCUUGGUUUCUUUUAGAUACUUUGUUUCUAGUUUGUAAAUUUUUUUUUAAACAGUAAUUAAGGGAUUUCGAGGUGAAGAAGGUGACGGUAGAAGGCUUGAAUGUUUGCGGAAGCUUUAGAUUGACGUUGGGCUCGAUACCAAAAUUGAUGUAAAACAAUGGGAAAGAAUCAAAAACAAAGAAA